CACCUCCGCCUCCACCUCCCAUGCGUGGUAAUUCUUCUCUGCCUCCAUCUCCUAUCAGUCAUGGUGUUUCUCUGCCUUCACAUUGCACUCCACCUACACCACCACCGCCGCCGCCCCCACCCCCACCUCCUCCUCAUGCUGUUGCGCAGCCUACCCUGCCUAUUUUGCGUGGUGGCGCUCCACCACCUCCACAUCCGAUGGAUGAAGCGCCACUUCCACCUUCCCCAUUGCCUGGAGCACCACCUCCACCACCCCCCAUGCAUGGAGCUUCACCUCCAACUUUCCCAUUGCCUAGAGCUCCACCUCCACCUCCACCUCCACCUCCACCUCCACCUCCACCUCCCCUCAUGCGUGGAGCACCACCUCCACCUCCCCCUCCUCCGAUGCAUGGAACCCGACCUCCACCCCCUCCAUUGCCUGCUGGUCCACCUCCUCAACGUGGAGCACCACCACCGCCUGCUCCCCCUAUCCGUGGGGCCACUGCUCCACCUCCACCACCUCCUCCCAUGCAUGGACCACCAGCUCCACCACCCGCUCCUGGAGGCCGUGUACUGGGUCCGCCUAGACCUCCAGGUGUGGGACCUCCCCCGCCUCCUCC
RNAcentral lists this long non-coding RNA (598 nucleotides) under Olea europaea (common olive). Its description in RNAcentral is "long non-coding RNA (OEUR_LNC014110)". The record is from RNAcentral. Lineage: Eukaryota; Viridiplantae; Streptophyta; Magnoliopsida; Lamiales; Oleaceae.